This 491-nucleotide ribosomal RNA is filed under the name uncultured bacterium. RNAcentral describes it as "partial 16S ribosomal RNA". It matches the Rfam family "Bacterial small subunit ribosomal RNA", at positions 29 to 506 of the family's 1533-position model. The record is from RNAcentral.
AGUGAACGCUGGCGGUAGGCCUAACACAUGCAAGUCGAACGGCAGCACAGUAAGAGCUUGCUCUUACGGGUGGCGAGUGGCGGACGGGUGAGGAAUACAUCGGAAUCUACUUUUUCGUGGGGGAUAACGUAGGGAAACUUACGCUAAUACCGCAUACGACCUACGGGUGAAAGCAGGGGAUCUUCGGACCUUGCGCGAUUGAAUGAGCCGAUGUCGGAUUAGCUAGUUGGCGGGGUAAAGGCCCACCAAGGCGACGAUCCGUAGCUGGUCUGAGAGGAUGAGCCGCCCACACUGAGAAUGAGCCACGAUCAAGCCCCUAAGGGGCGGAGGAGGUGGGAAAUGUAGAACAAGGGGCGAAGCCCAAACCCACCAAUGCGGGGUGGGGAAAGAAGGCUUUGGGUUUGAAAGCCCUUUUUUUGGGAAAGAAAAAGCAGCGGGUUAAUCCCCAGUGUUUCGGACGGACCCAAAGAAAAAGCCCCCGCUAACCUGAG